UAACACAUGCAAGUCGAGCGCCCCGCAAGGGGAGCGGCAGACGGGUGAGUAACGCGUGGGAAUCUACCCAUCCCUACGGAACAACUCCGGGAAACUGGAGCUAAUACCGUAUACGCCCUUUGGGGGAAAGAUUUAUCGGGGAUGGAUGAGCCCGCGUUGGAUUAGCUAGUUGGUGGGGUAAUGGCCUACCAAGGCAACGAUCCAUAGCUGGUCUGAGAGGAUGAUCAGCCACACUGGGACUGAGACACGGCCCAGACUCCUACGGGAGGCAGCAGUGGGGAAUAUUGGACAAUGGGCGCAAGCCUGAUCCAGCCAUGCCGCGUGAGUGAUGACGGCCCUAGGGUUGUAAAGCUCUUUCACCGGUGAAGAUAAUGACGGUAACCGGAGAAGAAGCCCCGGCUAACUUCGUGCCAGCAGCCGCGGUAAUAAGGGCGAAUUC
Molecule: ribosomal RNA, 439 nt
Filed under: uncultured Alphaproteobacteria bacterium
Lineage: Bacteria; Pseudomonadati; Pseudomonadota; Alphaproteobacteria
Description: bacterial SSU rRNA
Rfam family: Bacterial small subunit ribosomal RNA
Source: RNAcentral